RNAcentral lists this long non-coding RNA (810 nucleotides) under Homo sapiens (human). RNAcentral's name for it is "HSALNT0310739". The record is from RNAcentral. Lineage: Eukaryota; Metazoa; Chordata; Mammalia; Primates; Hominidae.
ACCUUGCCGGGCACGCGCAUUAAAGGGAAACGCCGGCUGGGGGUUAGGGGUUACCCCAAGACGGUGCAGGCAGUGGGACGAGGAGGCCUUUUACCCCCAUCCACCGCAGCCCUUGACUUCACGCUCGCCUCGAAGCUUUCGCAAAGUAGAUACGGGGACUGACCCUGUUGACACACUAACCCAAACUCGCAGACGCGUGGGGCUCGCAUGUACCCAAGACAGGAAAACUUCACGUUGGCCUGGAAACUUCUUCCAGGCUAAGCCUGAGUCUUCACCAGACACUGCAGCACGAAGGCCCUUCUGCCUUUUGGCUCGCCCUGGCCCAGAAUGCGCACCAGCCGACGGACUCUUCUUGCUCUGUUGCCCAGGCUGAAGUCCAGUGGUGCAAUCCCAGCUCACUGCAACCUCCGCCUCCCGGGUUCAAGUGAUUUUCCUGCCUCAGCUUCCUGAGUAGCUGGGACUACAGGCAAGAGAAAGAGGCCCACUGCAAUAUGCUGUGAAGAAUACAUAAGAAGUCAAACUGUUGACCUCUUUUCCCCAGCCCGUUCCAAAACUACAUCCCUGAGGAGUUGUGCACCUCUACGGAAAGUUCAGAUGAAAGAGCUAAUUCCCCUUGAUCUCUCUUCUUGUUCAGAGUGGAGGAAAAACAUAUACCAUCCCUUCCAUCAAUCCUCAGCAUAACUUUGCCAGGGACACUGGUAACAAGCUACUUUUACCUCAGAAGUUGGAGAGUAUCACUUGACCCACAUUGUGUAUGUGUAAAUAUCUUUAUUCAGUGUAUAUACAAUAUAUUCUUAAUUUGACUCUCAA